GACGAACGCUGGCGGCGUGCUUAACACAUGCCAGUCGAACGGUGAAGCGCCUUCCUUUUUGGUGGGUGUGGAUGAGUGGCGAACGGGUGAGUAACACGUGAGUAACCUGCCCCCUUCUUCUGGAUAACCGCAUGAAAGUGUGGCUAAUACGGGAUAUUCUGGGUCUGUCGCAUGAUGGGUCUGGGAAAGAUAUUGUUUCGGUGGGGGAUGGGCUCGCGGCCUAUCAGCUUGUUGGUGGGGUGAUGGCCUACCAAGGCGGUGACGGGUAGCCGGCCUGAGAGGGUGGACGGUCACACUGGGACUGAGACACGGCCCAGACUCCUACGGGAGGCAGCAGUGGGGAAUAUUGCACAAUGGGCGCAAGCCUGAUGCAGCGACGCCGCGUGAGGGAUGGAGGCCUUCGGGUUGUGAACCUCUUUCGCCAGUGAAGCAGGCCUGCCUCGUUUGUGGGUGGGUUGACGGUAGCUGGAUAGGAAGCGCCGGCUAACUACGUG
RNAcentral lists this ribosomal RNA (494 nucleotides) under uncultured bacterium. Its description in RNAcentral is "partial 16S ribosomal RNA". It matches the Rfam family "Bacterial small subunit ribosomal RNA", at positions 28 to 507 of the family's 1533-position model. The record is from RNAcentral.